This 301-nucleotide ribosomal RNA is filed under the name uncultured bacterium. Its description in RNAcentral is "partial 16S ribosomal RNA". It matches the Rfam family "Bacterial small subunit ribosomal RNA", at positions 509 to 808 of the family's 1533-position model. The record is from RNAcentral.
CAGCCGCCGCGGUAAUACGUAGGUGGCAAGCGUUGUCCGGAAUUAUUGGGCGUAAAGGGCUCGCAGGCGGUUUCUUAAGUCUGAUGUGAAAGCCCCCGGCUCAACCGGGAGGGUCAUUGGAAACUGGGAGACUUGAGUGCAGAAGAGGAGAGUGGAAUUCCACGUGUAGCGGUGAAAUGCGUAGAGAUGUGGAGGAACACCAGUGGCGAAGGCGACUCUCUGGUCUGUAACUGACGCUGAGGAGCGAAAGCGUGGGGAGCGAACAGGAUUAGAUACCCCAGUAGUCCCUGUCUCUUAUACA